Molecule: unclassified non-coding RNA, 1048 nt
Filed under: Hevea brasiliensis (rubber tree)
Lineage: Eukaryota; Viridiplantae; Streptophyta; Magnoliopsida; Malpighiales; Euphorbiaceae
Source: RNAcentral
GGUUGCUUGAGGACCUGACACCUCUUGCUGCAGGUGGAUCUGCUGUUUGGUUACGUGCCAGUUCCAUUCAACGGACAUUUGCACUUGAUAUACUUGAGUUUGUUUUAUCCAAUUAUGUGGUGUUGUUCAGAGCGUUGGUUCCUUAUGAAGAGGUACUCCGUCGCCAGAUAUGCUCACUUCUGAUGACAUCACUUCGUACUGAUACUGAGCUUGAAGGAGAAUCUGGAGAACCUUAUUUCCGUCGUUUGGUGUUGCGUUCAGUAGCCAACAUAAUCAGGCAUUACAGUUCUUCACUUAUAACUGAAUCUGAGGUAUUUCUCAGCAUGUUGGUGAGAGUUAUAUCUCUAGACUUACCAUUGUGGCAUCGCAUUCUUGUUCUUGAAAUCUUGAGGGGUUUUUGUGUGGAAGCACGCACUAUGCGAAUUCUUUUCCUUAAUUUUGACAUGCAUCCGAAGAACACAAAUGUGGUUGAGAGUAUGGUAAAAGCUCUUGCUCGUGUCGUUUCGAGUAUCCAGUUUCAAGACACAUGUGAGGAGAGCCUUGCUGCUGUAGCUGGAAUGUUUAGUAGUAAAGCAAAAGGGAUUGAGUGGAGCUUAGAUAGUGAUGCGUCGAAUGCUGCCGUUUUAGUUGCAAGUGAAGCACAUGCAAUAACUUUAGCAAUUGAGGGCCUACUAGGAGUUGUUUUCACUGUGGCUACUUUAACAGAUGAGGCGGUUGACAUGGGUGAGCUUGACUCUCCAAGAUGUGAGUCUGAUCCACCAGCGAAAUUGACCGGAAGAACUGCACUUCUUUGUGUAUCGAUGGUUGACUCAAUGUGGUUGACCAUUCUUGAUGCUUUAUCGUUCAUCUUAGCGAAGUCUCAGGGGGAGGCUAUUAUUUUGGAAAUACUAAAAGGCUAUCAAGCAUUUACUCAGGCCUGUGGAAUACUUCAUGCUGUAGAGCCUUUGAAUUCUUUCCUAGCAUCCCUUUGCAAAUUCACAAUUGGCAUACCUGUUGAAGUAGAGAAGAGGAGUGUGGUACAAUCUCCUGGAUCUAAGCGGUCAGAAGC